GCUGGUUCUCGAGAAAAGAAUUUUAGUCCAACCUAAAGUAACCCCAGUCAACAUAAAUCACCCGCCUUACUUUAGAGCAAUUCAAAUGAGGUACAGCCCAUUUGACAUAGGAUACAACCUUCACUAAAGGGUAAUGUUUUACAAUCAUUUUUAAGUAGGCCUAAAAACAGCCAUCUUUUAAAAAGCGUCAAAGCUUAGCUCUGUUAGCACUAAUUCUACAACCCCUACAGACCCCUUAAACAGUAUCGAGAACUUCUAUAACCUUAUAGAACCUCUUAUGCUAAAACUAGUAACAAGAGACAAACUCUCUCUCUUAAUGUAAACAUAGGCCAGAAAGAACCCAUCACUGACAAUUAACAGAUCUCUAUAAGUGUAGCAACUCCCCAAGAAAACCCUACUUUACCCCCACUGUUAACCUAACACCAGAACAUUACAAGAAAGAUUAAAAGAAAGAGAAGGAACUCGGCAAACUUUAGUCCCGCCUGUUUACCAAAAACAUCGCCUCUUGACCCCCACCAUAAGAGGUCCAGCCUGCCCAGUGACUCUGUUUAACGGCCGCGGUAUCCUAACCGUGCAAAGGUAGCGCAAUCACUUGUCUUCUAAAUAAAGACUAGUAUGAAAGGCAUUACGAAGACUAAACUGUCUCCUCUUUUUAAUCAGUGAACUUAAUCUCCCCGUGAAGAAGCGGGGAUUCCCACAUAAGACGAGAAGACCCUAUGGAGCUUUAAACACUAUAACACCUGCCAUCUCCCACUCCAACUCAGGUAUAUCACCUAACGGCAUCCUGAUUAUAUGUUUUUGGUUGGGGUGACCGCGGAGAAAAAAUUAUCCUCCACAAUGAACGGGGGCAACCCCUAAACAACAAGCUACAACUUUAUGUAUUAACAAAUUAACAUCCUUUGACCCAAUUACUAUUGAUUAACGAACCAAGUUACCCUAGGGAUAACAGCGCAAUCCACUUCAAGAGCCCUUAUCGACAAGUGGGCUUACGACCUCGAUGUUGGAUCGGGGUAUCCAAGUGGUGCAGCCGCUACUAAAGGUUCGUUUGUUCAACGAUUAAAACCCCACGUGAUCUGAGUUCAGACCGGAGCAAUCCAGGUCAGUUUCUAUCUAUGAAGAGCUACUUUUAGUACGAAAGGACCAAAAUAGCACGGCCAAUGCCCACUUUCAAGCCGUAAUUAAUCACUUCAAGCCUUCUACUCAAAAAAUUAUUAAUCUCCCACACCCCCUC
This 1231-nucleotide ribosomal RNA is filed under the name Pristimantis katoptroides. RNAcentral describes it as "partial 16S ribosomal RNA". It matches the Rfam family "Bacterial large subunit ribosomal RNA", at positions 848 to 2925 of the family's 2925-position model. The record is from RNAcentral. Lineage: Eukaryota; Metazoa; Chordata; Amphibia; Anura; Strabomantidae.